AAACUCUCACACUUGCAAUGUAACUAUUUCAAGUUGUGGAUUUGGACUUUGCCGUAGUUGGCUUGUCCUGAAAUGUAUUAGCUUGUGCUUAUUAGAGUGCUUGGCAAUGGUGUGAUAAUUAUCUGCGCCGCCGCCUCAUGCCUCUUCGAAAGUGCUGCUUCUAAUUGUCCCAUGUGGACAAUAUUAUAAA
Molecule: unclassified non-coding RNA, 190 nt
Filed under: uncultured Auriculariales
Lineage: Eukaryota; Fungi; Basidiomycota; Agaricomycetes; Auriculariales
Description: sequence contains ITS2
Source: RNAcentral